This 851-nucleotide ribosomal RNA is filed under the name uncultured organism. Its description in RNAcentral is "bacterial SSU rRNA". It matches the Rfam family "Bacterial small subunit ribosomal RNA", at positions 17 to 888 of the family's 1533-position model. The record is from RNAcentral.
UCCUGGCUCAGGAUGAACGCUGGCGGCGUGCCUAAUACAUGCAAGUCGAGCGAUGAGGCUCCUUCGGGAGUACAUCAGCGGCGAACGGGUGAGUAACACGUGGGUGACUUGCCCCGAAGAUGGGGAUAACCUCUGGAAACGGGGGCUAAUACCCAAUGUGCUCGGUGAUUCGGUUCAUCGAGUAAAGCUCCGGCGCUUCGGGAGAGGCCUGCGGCCCAUCAGCUAGUUGGUAGGGUAACGGCCUACCAAGGCAGAGACGGGUAGGGGGCGUGAGAGCGCGGACCCCCACACUGGCACUGAGAUACGGGCCAGACUCCUACGGGAGGCAGCAGUAAGGGAUAUUGCGCAAUGGACGAAAGUCAGACGCAGCGACGCCGCGUGGGCGAUGAAGGCCUUCGGGUUGUAAAGCCCUUUUAUGGGGGAAGAGAAAAAGGACGGUACCCCAGGAAUAAGUCCCGGCUAACUACGUGCCAGCAGCCGCGGUAAAACGUAGGGGACAAGCGUUAUCCGGAUUCACUGGGCGUAAAGAGCGUUGAGGCGGUUCCGUAAGUUGGGCGUGAAAGCUCCGGGCUUAACUCGGAGAUGUCGUUCAAUACUGCGGGGCUUGAGGACAGCAGAGGAAGGUGGAAUUCCCGGUGUAGUGGUGAAAUGCGUAGAUAUCGGGAGGAACACCCGUGGCGAAGGCGGCCUUCUGGGCUGUUCCUGACGCUGAAGGCGAAAGCUAGGGGAGCGAACGGGAUUAGAUACCCCGGUAGUCCUAGCUGUAAACGAUGGAUGCUGGGUGUGGGGGGUGUAAAUUCCCUCUGUGCCGAAGCAAACGCGUUAAGCAUCCCGCCUGGGGACUACGGCCG